This 164-nucleotide ribosomal RNA is filed under the name Centaurea crocata. RNAcentral describes it as "5.8S ribosomal RNA". It matches the Rfam family "5.8S ribosomal RNA". From Rfam's summary of the family: 5.8S ribosomal RNA (5.8S rRNA) is a component of the large subunit of the eukaryotic ribosome. It is transcribed by RNA polymerase I as part of the 45S precursor that also contains 18S and 28S rRNA. Lineage: Eukaryota; Viridiplantae; Streptophyta; Magnoliopsida; Asterales; Asteraceae. The record is from RNAcentral.
UAAACGACUCUCGGCACCGGAUAUCUCGGCUCGCGCAUCGAUGAAGAACGUAGCAAAAUGCGAUACUUGUUGUGAAYUCCAGAAUCCCGUGAACCAUCGAGUUUUUGMRCGCAAGUUGCGCCCGAACCCAUUCCGCCGAGGCCWCGUCUCCCUGGGCGCCCCGC